GCAGGUCUCUCCAAUAUCCUCAACCCACCUACCAGGUCCCCCGAUCCAACAAACUCAGCAAUAACCAUUUUAUCAUUAUCCACAAUUUCAUCACUCAAACUCUCAUUCCUACCACCAUGUAAACCUUCCAUCAAAAUAUCAUCACUUUUUAAUGCCUUAUUGUCACUACUCCCGCAAUACUCCAAAAGCUCAUCAACAGCAAGGCGUUCCUGUGGCUCAUCGCCAAUUUCCUCAUCUUUUAGAGCUGAAACGACCUGAGUAGUAGCGGUAACCUGUGUCUCUGGUCGAGCAGCCGAAGAGGACCCUGCUCGGCUCUGGUUUGAAGAAGAAGAACCGCUGCC
RNAcentral lists this unclassified non-coding RNA (341 nucleotides) under Hevea brasiliensis (rubber tree). Lineage: Eukaryota; Viridiplantae; Streptophyta; Magnoliopsida; Malpighiales; Euphorbiaceae. The record is from RNAcentral.